This 749-nucleotide ribosomal RNA is filed under the name Caulobacteraceae bacterium. Its description in RNAcentral is "bacterial SSU rRNA". It matches the Rfam family "Bacterial small subunit ribosomal RNA", at positions 37 to 832 of the family's 1533-position model. The record is from RNAcentral. Lineage: Bacteria; Pseudomonadati; Pseudomonadota; Alphaproteobacteria; Caulobacterales; Caulobacteraceae.
UGGCGGCAGGCCUAACACAUGCAAGUCGAACGAACUCUUCGGAGUUAGUGGCGGACGGGUGAGUAACACGUGGGAACGUGCCUUUUGGUUCGGAAUAACUCAGGGAAACUUGUGCUAAUACCGAAUGUGCCCUUCGGGGGAAAGAUUUAUCGCCAUUAGAGCGGCCCGCGUCUGAUUAGCUAGUUGGUGAGGUAAAGGCUCACCAAGGCGACGAUCAGUAGCUGGUCUGAGAGGAUGAUCAGCCACAUUGGGACUGAGACACGGCCCAAACUCCUACGGGAGGCAGCAGUGGGGAAUCUUGCGCAAUGGGCGAAAGCCUGACGCAGCCAUGCCGCGUGAAUGAUGAAGGUCUUAGGAUUGUAAAAUUCUUUCACCGGGGACGAUAAUGACGGUACCCGGAGAAGAAGCCCCGGCUAACUUCGUGCCAGCAGCCGCGGUAAUACGAAGGGGGCUAGCGUUGCUCGGAAUUACUGGGCGUAAAGGGAGCGUAGGCGGACAUUUAAGUCAGGGGUGAAAUCCCGGGGCUCAACCUCGGAAUUGCCUUUGAUACUGGGUGUCUUGAGUAUGAGAGAGGUGUGUGGAACUCCGAGUGUAGAGGUGAAAUUCGUAGAUAUUCGGAAGAACACCAGUGGCGAAGGCGACACACUGGCUCAUUACUGACGCUGAGGCUCGAAAGCGUGGGGAGCAAACAGGAUUAGAUACCCUGGUAGUCCACGCCGUAAACGAUGAUUGCUAGUUGUCGGGAUGCA